Molecule: long non-coding RNA, 614 nt
Organism: Acinonyx jubatus (cheetah)
Lineage: Eukaryota; Metazoa; Chordata; Mammalia; Carnivora; Felidae
Exons: 3
Source: RefSeq, a predicted model, not a curated record
GUCCUUCAGAGAGACAGGCAGCUGGGACCAGCCCAACUCCUUGCCACAGGUCACGCUUGCUUGUCUCACCCUGAGAGGAGAAUCGGGGCCCAUGUGACCCUCACAGCCUUGGCAUCUCUGCACCUGCUGUGAGCUUCAUGUUACGUUAUUGAUGUGAUGAGAAAAAAACUGGCUGCCAUCUCCGGUCCUACAGUCUUGGACGUGUGGUAUCUUCAGCCCUGUUUCAAGCCCGGGUGACCAGGUAGGGACUCCAGUGUGUUUGGGGUGUCUCUAAGCCUUGUCUAGAGUUGGAAGUUGGAAUAGACCCACAAGAGACCAAUGGGGCACCUUCCCAGCAGCCUCUGGGAAACCCAUACUUCCACCCCUUUCCAGAACGUGGAAGGGUGAGGACACUUUACCUAGUGAUUGGCAUCUAGAGAACAUGAAGGUCCUCAGACCUGGCUGAGCUGCCCCCUUGAGACCUGCAGGAAGAAGGAAACUGCCCACAAGGCCCAGUACAGCAGGGUUGGGGCAGGAGCAAACAGCACCCGAUUUUUUAAAAACCACUUUAAAUAACAUUUGAUGUGAUCAUUUUAUGAGGAAAUGUUAUAAAUAGCAUGUCUUAUUGUUCCAAA